Molecule: ribosomal RNA, 1538 nt
Filed under: uncultured eukaryote
Lineage: Eukaryota
Description: SSU rRNA
Rfam family: Eukaryotic small subunit ribosomal RNA
Source: RNAcentral
UUACUUGGAUAACUGCGGUAAUUCUGGAGCUAAUACAUGCGUCCAAGCCCCGAACUUUUAUUAGAUCAAAACCAAACGUCUUCGGACGUCCCCCUGGUGAUUCUGAAUAACUUUUUGCCGAUCGCACGGCUUCACGCCGGCGACGUGUCCAUCUAAGGUGUGCCCUAUCAACUGUCGACUGUGGCAUAGACGCCCACAGUGGUUUUGACGGGUAACGGGGAAUCAGGGUUCGAUUCCGGAGAGGGAGCCUGAGAAACGGCUACCACUUCUAAGGAAGGCAGCAGGCACGCAAAUUACCCACUGGUCGAAGACCGAGGUAGUGACGAAAAAUAACGAUACCAGACUCAUCCGAGGCCUGGUAAUCGGAAUGAGUACACUUUAAACCUUUUAACGAGGAACAAUUGGAGGGCAAGUCUGGUGCCAGCAGCCGCGGUAAUUCCAGCUCCAAUAGCGUAUAUUAAUGUUGUUGCGGUUAAAAAGCUCGUAGUUGGAUCUCGGCGGGCAGGGGACGGUUCGUUGUUUGACGCUACUGUCCCAUUGUCCCGUGAUGUUUGGUCGGAGGUUCCGGGGUGCUCUUAACCGAGUGUCCCGGGGCGCCGUCCGGUUUACUUUGAAAAAAUUAGAGUGCUCAGCGCAGGCUUUCCACGCUUGAAUAUCAGUGCAUGGAAUAAUGGAAUAGGACAUCGUUUCUAUUUUGUUGGUUUUUCGAAAUCGAUGUAAUGAUCAAUAGGGACAGUCGGGGGCAUUAGUAUUCCGGCGACAGAGGUGAAAUUCUUGGACCGCCGGAAGACUCACUACUGCGAAAGCAUUUGCCAAGAAUGUUUUCAUUAAUCAAGAACGAAAGUUAGAGGUUCGAAGGCGAUCAGAUACCGCCCUAGUUCUAACCAUAAACGAUGCCAGCUAGCGAUCCGCGGACGUUUUUACUGUAGGCUCCGCGGGAAGCUUCCGGGAAACCAAAGCUUUUGGGUUCCGGGGGAAGUAUGGUUGCAAAGCUGAAACUUAAAGGAAUUGACGGAAGGGCACCACCAGGAGUGGAGCCUGCGGCUUAAUUUGACUCAACACGGGAAAUCUCACCAGGCCCGGACACUGGCAGGAUUGACAGAUUGAGAGUUCUUUCUUGAUUGGUCUAGUGGUGGUGCAUGGCCGUUCUUAGUUGGUGGAGUGAUUUGUCUGGUUAAUUCCGUUAACGAACGAGACCUUAACCUGCUAACUAGUACUGCGUUCUUAAUCGUUGUUACUUCUUAGAGGGACUAUGUGAUGUAAUCACAUGGAAGUUUGAGGCAAUAACAGGUCUGUGAUGCCCUUAGAUGUCCUGAGCUGCACGCGCGCUACAAUGACACAUUCAGCAAGUACCUCCUGAUCCGAAAGGAUUUGGGUAAUCUUUUUAGUGUGUGUCGUGAUAGGGAUAGAUCUUUGUAAUUAUGGAUCUUGAACGAGGAAUUCCUAGUAAGCACAAGUCAUCAGCUUGUGCUGAUUACGUCCCUGCAAAAUGUACACACCGCCCGUCGCUUUUACCGAUCGAGUGUUCAGGUGAACCU